GAUGAAGAACGCAGCGAAAUGCGAUAAGUAAUGUGAAUUGCAGAAUUCAGUGAAUCAUCGAAUCUUUGAACGCACAUUGCGCCCCCUGGCAUUCCGGGGGGCAUGCCUGUCCGAGCGUCAUUACAACCCUCAAGCUCAGCUUGGUGUUGGGCCCCACCGCCCCGGCGGGCCCUAAAGUCAGUGGCGGUGCCGUCCGGCUCCGAGCGUAGUAAUUCUUCUCGCUCUGGAGGUCCGGUCGCGUGCUCGCCAGCAACCCCCAAUUUUUUUCAGGUUGACCUCGGAUCAGGUAGGGAUACCCGCUGAACUUAAGCAUAUCAAUAAGCGGAGGA
RNAcentral lists this unclassified non-coding RNA (329 nucleotides) under soil metagenome. RNAcentral describes it as "partial contains 5.8S ribosomal RNA, internal transcribed spacer 2, and large subunit ribosomal RNA". The stretch from base 1 to 120 matches the Rfam family "5.8S ribosomal RNA", at positions 35 to 154 of the family's 154-position model. The record is from RNAcentral.